Molecule: ribosomal RNA, 443 nt
Filed under: uncultured bacterium
Lineage: Bacteria
Description: partial 16S ribosomal RNA
Rfam family: Bacterial small subunit ribosomal RNA
Source: RNAcentral
UCUACGGGUGGCAGCAGUGGGGAAUAUUGGGCAAUGGGCGCAAGCCUGACCCAGCAACGCCGCGUGAAGGAAGAAGGCUUUCUGGUUGUAAACUUCUUUUCUCAGGGACGAAGCAAGUGACGGUACCUGAGGACUAAGCCACGGCUAACUACGUGCCCGCAGCCGCGGUAAUACGUAGGUGGCAAGCGUUAUCCGGAUUUACUGGGUGUAAAGGGCGUGUAGGCGGGACUGCAAGUCAGAUGUGAAAACCACGGGCUCAACCUGUGGCCUGCAUUUGAACCUGUAGUUCUUGAGUACGGGAGAGGCAGAAGGAAGUCCUAGGGUAGCGGUGAAAUGCGUAGAUAUUAGGAGGAACACCAGUGGCGAAGGCGGGCUGCUGGACAGCAACUGACGCUGAGGCGCGAAAGCGUGGGGAGCAAACAGGAUUAGAUACCCGUGUAGUC